This is a long non-coding RNA of Gambusia affinis (western mosquitofish), 1928 nucleotides long. RefSeq lists it as uncharacterized. Lineage: Eukaryota; Metazoa; Chordata; Actinopteri; Cyprinodontiformes; Poeciliidae. The transcript is spliced from 3 exons. The record is from RefSeq and is a predicted model, not a curated record.
AGAACAUAGGACGAAAUCUGUAACUGUGAAACCUCACUGUGUUCUCCCUGCAGACUUCAAGAAAAUGCGGGGCAGGAGGAAUGCUGUGAUUAAGGAAAGGACGACAGCUGAUCUCAGCCUUGCAGCGGGAGGAAAGCAGGUGGCUCAGACAGUGCAGAUGUUGGUGAACUGCUGCCACAGACCAUCAUGUGGUUCUUCCUGCAGCCUCUGAGUUGUAGGAUGUCUCAUCAGUGUCCGUCUUCCUGACUGCCAGUCGGUGUUUACCUUCAGGAUGUCCAGAGACCUUCACCUUUCUGGAGCAGGAAUCACAUGAGCUCAAUGUGCUGAUGAAACAUUUCUAAUUUCAAAAAAAUGUGGCUGAUGUGCAUUAACAAUCUGUUGAUUUUAACUUCUCAAUAUGUUUAAUUAUGAUUCAUCUGUUCAAGUUAUACUUAGAACAAAUACAGCUGUGUUCCUUCUAAUCUGACUGGUUCUACUUUUAAUCAAACCUUCAUGUUUUCACAUUUUGGUCACUAAGAAUUGAUCGGGGGCUCAAAGUUUAAACUCAAUCGUAUUUAUUGCUAAUUAAGGUUACAGGUUUUGGACACAUUUUCUCUCUUUCUGACAUUGAAGAUUCUCCAGGAAGACAGCUAAACAGUGAGAGGAUAGAAUGAUGCCCUACAAAGUAGAAAGUAACAAACAUGAUUUGUACUUUGGAUUCUUGUUAAUAGCAACCCUUAUAACUAUGUCAAAAUGUUUGGUUUGCUGAAUAAUGUAUUCACUUUUGGUUACCUUCAUUGGUAAUCUACAAUGUUAAGUGUCAAUGACAUAUUUACAUAAUAUAAUAUUAUUUUUACUCUGUCUAAAGCUCCUCACAUUUUGGGAGGAUUGUAUUAGGACCUUAAUGCCAAACGAACUACAGUAUGUACAAUAACGUGUGGAGAGAGUAUAAAAAAAGAGACUUUGUUCAUUGAGAGCACAACAGCAUUUAUUUUUCUUUAGUUUCUUUAGUGGAGCUCUGCCAUCUCAGUGCUGGUAGCUGUUUCCUCCUGAAGGUUGUUCUGAUGGUUUUCCUCAUCGUUCACCAUCAUGUCAGCCAUGUUCCUCUUCUUCUGUUCCCUGGGAAAAGUAAUCAAAUGUUAUAGCUUAUAGUAGAUAAAUAACAGAGUUACUAAUGUGGAAGAAGGAAUUAUUUAAAACAGACAUGUUACUUUAUAUCUAUGCAAACAUUUUUUUUACCAUUCAGACAUACAGAAUUAUAAAUAACUGGAAUAGUUGUAUAAAUCCUGUUAAAAGCACCUACAAAGCAUGAGCCAUUAGUGAACAAAAAGAAAAAGUGGCCAACAAAAAGUGGCAGCAGAGCUGUCCCAUCUAGCACAGUCAUUCAGUGGACUGAAAAACACCAGUUGAUUUCGGAACAACUCAUUGACUGUCUUGUCAACCCCCCUAUUCUUGGCUUCCCAGAUUUCUCACAGCCAUUUGUUCUCCACACGGAUGCGUCCAAUCUGGGUCUAGAUGCCGUGCUAUACCAAAAGCAGAAUGAAAGCUCCGUGUGAUUGCAGCUGUUAAGGUGCGUGAGCCAUAGGUAGAGAAAAAUUAUCAUUUGCAUUUGGGGAAGUUGGAGUUUCUCGCCCUUAAAUGGGCUAUAACAGGGAAAUUCAGAGACUAUUUAUAUUAUGCUCCGUUUUUCACUGUCUAUAGUGACAAUAAUCCACUCACAUAUGUGUUGUCCACUGCCAAACUAAAUGCAACAGGAUGUCGAUGGGUUGCAGAGCUGGCAGAUUUUUAUUACUCUGUAUAUAUAUUCUCUUUUGUGCCCCCCUUGAGAUAGCCCUGGCCCUCCUUUGGCCCCCCCAAAUUUCAAAGUCUAGCUCUGUCAGCACUACCUUCAUUCAGUGUUCAACUGUAAAACUGUUGCUUUGGAGUAAUAAAUGAAGUUUGCACACCCA